GGGGUCCGAGUUGUAAUUUGCAGAGGAUGCUUCGGGUGCAGCCCCCGUCUAAGUGCCCUGGAACGGGCCGUCAUAGAGGGUGAGAAUCCCGUCUGGGACGGGGUGUCUGCGUCCGUGUGAAGCUCCUUCGACGAGUCGAGUUGUUUGGGAAUGCAGCUCUAAAUGGGUGGUAAAUUUCAUCUAAAGCUAAAUACUGGCCGGAGACCGAUAGCGCACAAGUAGAGUGAUCGAAAGAUGAAAAGCACUUUGAAAAGAGAGUUAAACAGCACGUGAAAUUGUUGAAAGGGAAGCGCUUGCGACCAGACUCGCCCGCGGGGUUCAGCCGGCCUUCGGGCCGGUGUACUUCCCCGCGGACGGGCCAGCGUCGGUUUGGGCGGCCGGUCAAAGGCCCCGGGAAUGUAUCGCCCUCCGGGGCGUCUUAUAGCCCGGGGUGCAAUGCGGCCUGCCCAGACCGAGGAACGCGCUUCGGCACGGACGCUGGCAUAAUGGUCGUAAGCGACCCGUCUUGAAACACGGACCAAGGAGUCUAACAUCUACGCGAGUGUUCGGGUGUCAAACCCGUGCGCGGAGUGAAAGCAAACGGAGGUGGGAGCCCCUCGGGGCGCACCAUCGACCGAUCCUGAUGUCUUCGGAUGGAUUUGAGUAAGAGCGUAGCUGUGGGGACC
Molecule: ribosomal RNA, 665 nt
Filed under: Aspergillus koreanus
Lineage: Eukaryota; Fungi; Ascomycota; Eurotiomycetes; Eurotiales; Aspergillaceae
Description: LSU rRNA
Rfam family: Eukaryotic large subunit ribosomal RNA
Source: RNAcentral